Molecule: ribosomal RNA, 2906 nt
Filed under: Salmonella enterica subsp. salamae
Lineage: Bacteria; Pseudomonadati; Pseudomonadota; Gammaproteobacteria; Enterobacterales; Enterobacteriaceae
Description: bacterial LSU rRNA
Rfam family: Bacterial large subunit ribosomal RNA
Source: RNAcentral
UUAAGCGACCAAGCGUACACGGUGGAUGCCCUGGCAGUCAGAGGCGAUGAAGGACGUGCUAAUCUGCGAUAAGCGCCGGUAAGGUGAUAUGAACCGUUAUAACCGGCGAUUUCCGAAUGGGGAAACCCAGUGUGAUUCGUCACACUAUCAUUACGUGAAUACAUAGCGUAAUGAAGCGAACCGGGGGAACUGAAACAUCUAAGUACCCCGAGGAAAAGAAAUCAACCGAGAUUCCCCCAGUAGCGGCGAGCGAACGGGGAGGAGCCCAGAGCCUGAAUCAGCAUGUGUGUUAGUGGAAGCGUCUGGAAAGGCGCGCGAUACAGGGUGACAGCCCCGUACACAAAAGCGCACAUGCUGUGAGCUCGAUGAGUAGGGCGGGACACGUGGUAUCCUGUCUGAAUAUGGGGGGACCAUCCUCCAAGGCUAAAUACUCCUGACUGACCGAUAGUGAACCAGUACCGUGAGGGAAAGGCGAAAAGAACCCCGGCGAGGGGAGUGAAACAGAACCUGAAACCGUGUACGUACAAGCAGUGGGAGCACAGGUUUACCUGUGUGACUGCGUACCUUUUGUAUAAUGGGUCAGCGACUUAUAUUCUGUAGCAAGGUUAACCGCAUAGGGGAGCCGAAGGGAAACCGAGUCUUAACCGGGCGUUAAGUUGCAGGGUAUAGACCCGAAACCCGGUGAUCUAGCCAUGGGCAGGUUGAAGGUUGGGUAACACUAACUGGAGGACCGAACCGACUAAUGUUGAAAAAUUAGCGGAUGACCUGUGGCUGGGGGUGAAAGGCCAAUCAAACCGGGAGAUAGCUGGUUCUCCCCGAAAGCUAUUUAGGUAGCGCCUCGUGAACUCAUCUCCGGGGGUAGAGCACUGUUUCGGCUAGGGGGCCAUCCCGGCUUACCAACCCGAUGCAAACUGCGAAUACCGGAGAAUGUUAUCACGGGAGACACACGGCGGGUGCUAACGUCCGUCGUGAAGAGGGAAACAACCCAGACCGCCAGCUAAGGUCCCAAAGUCAUGGUUAAGUGGGAAACGAUGUGGGAAGGCCCAGACAGCCAGGAUGUUGGCUUAGAAGCAGCCAUCAUUUAAAGAAAGCGUAAUAGCUCACUGGUCGAGUCGGCCUGCGCGGAAGAUGUAACGGGGCUAAACCAUGCACCGAAGCUGCGGCAGCGACACUGUGUGUUGUUGGGUAGGGGAGCGUUCUGUAAGCCUGCGAAGGUGGCCUGUGAGGGUUGCUGGAGGUAUCAGAAGUGCGAAUGCUGACAUAAGUAACGAUAAAGCGGGUGAAAAGCCCGCUCGCCGGAAGACCAAGGGUUCCUGUCCAACGUUAAUCGGGGCAGGGUGAGUCGACCCCUAAGGCGAGGCCGAAAGGCGUAGUCGAUGGGAAACGGGUUAAUAUUCCCGUACUUGGUGUUACUGCGAAGGGGGGACGGAGAAGGCUAUGUUGGCCGGGCGACGGUUGUCCCGGUUUAAGCAUGUAGGCGGAUGUUCCAGGUAAAUCCGGAACGUUACUAACGCUGAGGUGUGAUGACGAGGCACUACGGUGCUGAAGCAACAAAUGCCCUGCUUCCAGGAAAAGCCUCUAAGCAUCAGGUAACAUCAAAUCGUACCCCAAACCGACACAGGUGGUCAGGUAGAGAAUACCAAGGCGCUUGAGAGAACUCGGGUGAAGGAACUAGGCAAAAUGGUGCCGUAACUUCGGGAGAAGGCACGCUGACACGUAGGUGAAGUGGUUUACCCAUGGAGCUGAAGUCAGUCGAAGAUACCAGCUGGCUGCAACUGUUUAUUAAAAACACAGCACUGUGCAAACACGAAAGUGGACGUAUACGGUGUGACGCCUGCCCGGUGCCGGAAGGUUAAUUGAUGGGGUUAGCGCAAGCGAAGCUCCUGAUCGAAGCCCCGGUAAACGGCGGCCGUAACUAUAACGGUCCUAAGGUAGCGAAAUUCCUUGUCGGGUAAGUUCCGACCUGCACGAAUGGCGUAAUGAUGGCCAGGCUGUCUCCACCCGAGACUCAGUGAAAUUGAACUCGCUGUGAAGAUGCAGUGUACCCGCGGCAAGACGGAAAGACCCCGUGAACCUUUACUAUAGCUUGACACUGAACAUUGAGCCUUGAUGUGUAGGAUAGGUGGGAGGCUUUGAAGCGUGGACGCCAGUCUGCGUGGAGCCGACCUUGAAAUACCACCCUUUAAUGUUUGAUGUUCUAACGUGGACCCGUAAUCCGGGUUGCGGACAGUGUCUGGUGGGUAGUUUGACUGGGGCGGUCUCCUCCUAAAGAGUAACGGAGGAGCACGAAGGUUGGCUAAUCCUGGUCGGACAUCAGGAGGUUAGUGCAAUGGCAUAAGCCAGCUUGACUGCGAGCGUGACGGCGCGAGCAGGUGCGAAAGCAGGUCAUAGUGAUCCGGUGGUUCUGAAUGGAAGGGCCAUCGCUCAACGGAUAAAAGGUACUCCGGGGAUAACAGGCUGAUACCGCCCAAGAGUUCAUAUCGACGGCGGUGUUUGGCACCUCGAUGUCGGCUCAUCACAUCCUGGGGCUGAAGUAGGUCCCAAGGGUAUGGCUGUUCGCCAUUUAAAGUGGUACGCGAGCUGGGUUUAGAACGUCGUGAGACAGUUCGGUCCCUAUCUGCCGUGGGCGCUGGAGAACUGAGGGGGGCUGCUCCUAGUACGAGAGGACCGGAGUGGACGCAUCACUGGUGUUCGGGUUGUCAUGCCAAUGGCACUGCCCGGUAGCUAAAUGCGGAAGAGAUAAGUGCUGAAAGCAUCUAAGCACGAAACUUGCCCCGAGAUGAGUUCUCCCUGAGACUAUAAGUCUCCUGAAGGAACGUUGAAGACGACGACGUUGAUAGGCCGGGUGUGUAAGCGCAGCGAUGCGUUGAGCUAACCGGUACUAAUGAACCGUGAGGCUUAACCUU